AUGAGAAAUGCGCAUGCGCACGUCGUAGGUCCUGGGCGUCGCAUGACGACACGCCGGCCCUCUCCAGACGCCUCUUCCCGUCAUUCUCCGCCACAGAAAGGGCGGGGGGAAGGGGGGGUAAGCGUGGGGCGGCCUGACGACAUGUACGUCAUUUACGUCACGUUAGCGUUUCUUGACGGUCCCCAAAGCUGCUGUGACCCUCACCUAAGCAGCCUUUGGGUCUGUGGCUGGCUUCACGUCUCCCCGUGUUUCUCCCGCCCUUGCCAUGGCAGAGAGUUAUGGAGGAGGACGGGCCGAGCUGAGCCCCGCAGCAGGCCCCGGCAGAGGCUGCUAGCGGCCAUCUUGAGGCGGCCGGAGCCCUGCGCGCGCUCCUGCCCGAGCUCCCAUCUCGGGCCCCGCCCCCUAACCCCUCCCCCGAGGCCAGGCGUGCGCGCCCCUACUAUGGCCUUUUCCGCCUCGGCCCAAUCGUGCGCGCCCCCGAAGACGGCCGGCUCCUGGCCCCGGCUGGACGCGGCCGGGCGUGCGCGUUCCCGGGCCUCCUCCCCCGCCCUCCCCCACCGUGGUUGGCCGCCGGAGCUGGAGCCGCGGGCGCCCCGCGCGCUGUGGGAGCGGAGCGGGAGGGGCGGGGGAGGAGGCCCGGGAACGCGCACGCUCGGCCGCGUCCAGCCGGGGCCAGGAGCCGGCCGUCUUCGGGGGCGCGCACGAUUGGGCCGAGGCGGAAAAGGCCAUAGUAGGGGCGCGCACGCNGGGGAGGGGGCCGAGACAAAGCGGCCGCUAAUGAAUGGGGACCGGGAUCCGGAUCCGGCUGCUCCUCCUCCUCCUCCGCCUCCUGCAGCCGGGCCGCCGGGCCGAGGCCGGGGCCGGAGACCGCCGCGGAGAUCCUGUGCGGACAUAUGGUCGGGAAAGUGGAGAAGUGUGGGCGAUGAAGCCGAGGCACCGGGAGAAGAUGCUGAAAGGCCGGGCUUGCAUUGGGUCCUCACUGCUCUGAGGGCUCGGGCUAGCGGACCUCGGGUUGGGCUCCUUCCUGGCUCUGGCCCUGGGCCGACCCUCCCUCACCAGGGAAGAUAGGAAGGGGCAGCGGUCAGCUCGUUGACUUCUCUGCCCGUAAACAAGGCCUGAGUUUGCGUUCACCUCACUAGGAAAGAAUGUGAUCUACCAGUUUGAACCAGGCUGGCCAGGGGCAGGCAAACUCAGCCGGGUUUGUGUCAGAAGGCUCUCAUUUGCUGGGCGCUUGGACCGAGGCAGCCCAGGCUUGGAUGCUCCGGCUGCGAAGUGGACCAGAAAAGGAAACUGCCAGAAAGUGUGUUUGGGGAGAUUCGUUUAACAUUCCUAAAGUAUUUUGGUUGGGAAAAAACAUGGAAAGAAAACUUUUUUACCCAGGAUCUCUUGAGAGAAGAUAAACCUUGAGGGAGCAGAAGGGAUUUCAUUGGUUGUUGGUGCAGGGAAACUUCUUCUAUAGGGCUAGUCUGGACUGGACUCCUUUUGACUCCUGAUUGCAUGGCGUUCCCUGGGCACAAGCUCUUCAGCAGCAAGGCUACAGGUCUGAGGCUGCAGAGGCCGAUAGGAAUUAAAGGCCUGCGUGCGUGGUCUCUGCUCAGGAGAAUGCUGGCUUUGGGACUUCCACGAGGGAAUUAUUUGGAACGCGCAUUCUUAAGACCAAUGUGUGAAAAGGUACAUUCUCCUCCACCAAUGUGCAUACAGCCUGGGGCCCCCAGUGCCACGGUCCCUGUGGCUGGCCAGAGGCUGCAAUCUGGGCUGUCUACGACAUGGACCCGUAAAGGGGCGGCAGGCUCCUGGUCCACUUGGGCUGGGACAGGUGGAAGGAACACUUCAUGAAAUACGAAUGCCUGAGACUUCCCUUUCCCCAGGAUGCAAGGAUUUUGUUGGCUUCUUCAACUUGGAAUUUUAAAAAGUUAUUGAUGACUUUUUGUGCUUGGGAUCAAGUUUGAUAGACUUUAUUUCAUUUUUUGUGGUUUCAGUUUGCCCCCUUUUUGUCCCCUUGGCCGUCAUUGAAGAGCAGAAAAUGAUCUGAGGGUGUCUGGUCUGGUUUAUGUGUUUAAUGCUUCCC
Long non-coding RNA from Monodelphis domestica (gray short-tailed opossum), 2068 nucleotides. The record is from Ensembl. Lineage: Eukaryota; Metazoa; Chordata; Mammalia; Didelphimorphia; Didelphidae.